AGAAUCAACGCUGGCGGCGUGCCUAACACAUGCAAGUCGCACGAGAAAGAGGAGCAAUCCCUGGAGUAAAGUGGCGCACGGGUGAGUAACACCGUGAAUAAUCUACCUCCGAGUGGGGAAUAACUGAGAGAAAUCUUAGCUAAUACCGCAUAACACUUACGAGUCAAAGCAGCAAUGCGCUUGGAGAGGAGUUCGCGGCCGAUUAGUUAGUUGGCGGGGUAAUGGCCCACCAAGACGAUGAUCGGUA
RNAcentral lists this ribosomal RNA (247 nucleotides) under uncultured bacterium. RNAcentral's name for it is "partial small subunit ribosomal RNA". It matches the Rfam family "Bacterial small subunit ribosomal RNA", at positions 26 to 285 of the family's 1533-position model. The record is from RNAcentral.